AUGGCUGAUGUAGAAUCCUACAUGUUUGAGACUCAGUGAUCAAGAAUCAAGAUUCUCUAAUCACGAGUUCCACACAUUAUGGGUACCGGGGUCAAGAGUCCCACUGGUUGGGAUUUUUCGAUCAGGUUUACAUAUCGAUGAAUUCUGAUGCCUGAUUGCCCAUAGGAUUUGGACUCAGUAUUUAUGAGAGGUUUAAUUAGUGAUUUAAUCAUUAAUUAACUCAAUUUGAUGGAGUAAUUAUUUUUGG
This 247-nucleotide long non-coding RNA is filed under the name Elaeis guineensis (African oil palm). RNAcentral describes it as "long non-coding RNA (EGUI_LNC066295)". Lineage: Eukaryota; Viridiplantae; Streptophyta; Magnoliopsida; Arecales; Arecaceae. The record is from RNAcentral.